Molecule: ribosomal RNA, 478 nt
Filed under: uncultured bacterium
Lineage: Bacteria
Description: partial 16S ribosomal RNA
Rfam family: Bacterial small subunit ribosomal RNA
Source: RNAcentral
GACGAACGCUGGCGGCGUGCUUAACACAUGCAAGUCGAACGGUAAGGCCCUUCGGGGUACACGAGUGGCGAACGGGUGAGUAACACGUGGGUGAUCUGCCCUGCACUUCGGGAUAAGCCUGGGAAACUGGGUCUAAUACCGGAUAGGACCACUGCCUGCAUGGGUGGUGGUGGAAAGCUUUUGCGGUGUGGGAUGGGCCCGCGGCCUAUCAGCUUGUUGGUGGGGUGAUGGCCUACCAAGGCGACGACGGGUAGCCGGCCUGAGAGGGUGACCGGCCACACUGGGACUGAGAGACGGCCCAGACUCCUACGGGAGGCAGCAGUGGGGAAUAUUGCACAAUGGGGGCAAGCCUGAUGCAGCGACGCCGCGUGAGGGAUGACGGCCUUCGGGUUGUAAACCUCUUUCAGCACCGACGAAGCGCAAGUGACGGUGGGUGCAGAAGAAGGACCGGCCAACUACGUGCCAGCCGCCGCAGUAA